CAAAGGUUUGGUCCUGACUUUACUAUCAACUUUAGCUAAACUUACACAUGCAAGUAUCCGCACUCCUGUGAGAAUGCCCUACUGUUCCCCGCCCGGGAACAAGGAGCAGGUAUCAGGCACACCUCUAGUUAGCCCACGACGCCUUGCUUAGCCACACCCCCAAGGGAACUCAGCAGUGAUAAACAUUAAGCCAUAAGUGAAAACUUGACUUGGUCAAAGCUAAGAGGGCCGGUAAAACUCGUGCCAGCCACCGCGGUUAUACGAGAGGCCCAAGUUGAAAGACCCCGGCGUAAAGAGUGGUUAAGCUAGAAUUUAUACUAAAGCCGAACAUCCUCACGGCUGUUAUACGCACCCGAAGACAAGAAGCUCAACCACGAAGGUAACUUUAUAUAUCUGAACCCACGAAAGCUACGGCACAAACUGGGAUUAGAUACCCCACUAUGCCUAGCCCUAAACAUUGAUAGUACCCCACACCCGCUAUCCGCCUGGGAACUACGAGCAGCAGCUUAAAACCCAAAGGACUUGGCGGUGCUUUAAACCCACCUAGAGGAGCCUGUUCUAGAACCGAUACCCCCCGUUCAACCUCACCUUUCCUUGUUUCACCCGCCUAUAUACCGCCGUCGUCAGCUUACCCUGUGAAGGUCUAAUAGUAAGCAAAACUGGCCAAGCCCAGAACGUCAGGUCGAGGUGUAGCGCAUGGGAGGGGAAGAAAUGGGCUACAUUCGCUGCUGCAGCGAAUACGGACGAUGCACUGAAACGUUCAUCUGAAGGAGGAUUUAGCAGUAAGCAGAAAGUAGCGUGUUCCGCUGAAACUGGCCCUAAAGCGCGCACACACCGCCCGUCACUCUCCCCAAGCCCACCAACUUAAUUAACUAAACCCUAAUAAUCGCAAAGGGGAGGCAAGUCGUAACAUGGUAAGCGUACCGGAAGGUGCGCUUGGAAAAAU
This 946-nucleotide non-coding RNA is filed under the name Lycodes brevipes (shortfin eelpout). RNAcentral describes it as "12S ribosomal RNA". It matches the Rfam family "Bacterial small subunit ribosomal RNA". Lineage: Eukaryota; Metazoa; Chordata; Actinopteri; Perciformes; Zoarcidae. The record is from RNAcentral.